CCGCGGGCGGUCGGGCUCUGAGCCGGGCGGAUCCGGAGGGCAGCAGCCGAGGGAGCUCGGAGGGGGCCGGGCUUCUGAGGGAGGCUUGGACCAGAAGGGUUAUCCUCCUAGGCAAAGAGGACUUUUGUGAAAGAUGGGAGCACUCCGGGGUGCUCCGUGGAAGGUGAGCCUCCAAGGAGCACGUGUCCCGCCCCUUUCAGCUCCACUUCCUUCGGCAGGUGUGCCCCAGAGAGCCUGCGCCACGGAGCCUUCUCGUCUGCCUCGGACGUGUGGAUGUUUGGGGUGACGCUGUGGGAGAUGUUCUCCGGAGGCGAGGAACCCUGGGCCGGGGUCCCACCGUACCUCAUCCUGCAGCGGCUGGAGGAGAGAGCCCGGCUGCCUAGGCCUCCCCUCUGCUCCAGGGCCCUCUACUCCCUCGCCUUGCGCUGCUGGGCCCCCCACCCUGCCGACCGGCCUAGCUUUUCCCACCUGGAGGGGCUGCUGCAAGAGGCCGGGCCUUCGGAAGGAUGUUGUGUGAGGGAUGUCACAGAGCCAGGCGCCCUGAGGAUGGAGACUGGUGACCCCAUCACAGUCAUCGAGGGCAG
This 584-nucleotide small RNA is filed under the name Pan troglodytes (chimpanzee). Its description in RNAcentral is "retained intron". The record is from RNAcentral. Lineage: Eukaryota; Metazoa; Chordata; Mammalia; Primates; Hominidae.